GUACAAAAACGUCCGCUAGACUGGUUUGUGCGCUUUACGAUUAGUCACAUUGGGAAACAGUCAAAUUGCUCCGGAACAAAUGGAAUAGUUCACGAACAUUAGUGAAACGUUUGGUGGCUGAACUUGGGGCUUUAUUCGUAAAAAUGGUUCUCAAAAUACAUGUCAUCUAUUGUGGUGCAUGAGGAUAUGGACCACAUUAUAACAAGAUAAAGUCUCGCCUCGAGGACGAGUUUCCUGGACAACUGGAAUUUAGCAGUUAUGCGACUCCAGUCAGUACGGGUUUCUUGGAGGUUGAGGUGGUCGGUGGAAAGCUUCUUCACUCCAAAAAGAAUGGUGACGGGUACAUAAACACUGAAGCCAAAGUUCAGAAAAUCAUUAAGGGAGUGAAAGAAG
Long non-coding RNA from Gigantopelta aegis, 393 nucleotides. RefSeq lists it as uncharacterized. The record is from RefSeq and is a predicted model, not a curated record. The transcript is spliced from 5 exons. NCBI's taxonomy places the organism in Eukaryota, Metazoa, Mollusca, Gastropoda, Neomphalida, Peltospiridae.